UGGGGAAUAUUGCACAAUGGGCGCAAGCCUGAUGCAGCCAUGCCGCGUGUAUGAAGAAGGCCUUCGGGUUGUAAAGUACUUUCAGCGGGGAGGAAGGGAGUAAAGUUAAUACCUUUGCUCAUUGACGUUACCCGCAGAAGAAGCACCGGCUAACUCCGUGCCAGCAGCCGCGGUAAUACGGAGGGUGCAAGCGUUAAUCGGAAUUACUGGGCGUAAAGCGCACGCAGGCGGUUUGUUAAGUCAGAUGUGAAAUCCCCGGGCUCAACCUGGGAACUGCAUCUGAUACUGGCAAGCUUGAGUCUCGUAGAGGGGGGUAGAAUUCCAGGUGGAGCGGUGAAAUGCGUAGAGAUCUGGAGGAAUACCGGUGGCGAAGGCGGCCCCCUGGACGAAGACUGACGCUCAGGUGCGAAAGCGUGGGGAGCAAACAGG
This 429-nucleotide ribosomal RNA is filed under the name Chloroflexota bacterium. Its description in RNAcentral is "Chloroflexi bacterium partial 16S ribosomal RNA". It matches the Rfam family "Bacterial small subunit ribosomal RNA", at positions 355 to 776 of the family's 1533-position model. Lineage: Bacteria; Bacillati; Chloroflexota. The record is from RNAcentral.